UCUUAAAGAUAUUUACGUUAAAUACUUAAUUGGCUUUCAUAAGAAUAACCCUUCAGUUAAAAACACGAUUUCUUGCCCUUAAGCAAAAUAAACUUGUAAAAUCCUGUUUUUAAUCACUCGACCACUUAUAGCAAACUAUUUAAUUGGCUACAGACAUCCUUCUAAAUCGUUUUACAAGAAUUGCCGAGACUUAAUUACGGCAUUCUUACUUUAUUUAUUAUAAACGAUAUCCACGUAAAAGCUAAACCCUAAAGGCAUAACAGGCGUCUCGACUAUUGUAUAUAAACUGACAAUAAUUCUUUAAAUGGAAUGGACUGGACUGAACGUGUUAUAAUAUUCUUCUUGUGUCGUCUAAAUACAACAAAUAUAAGGUUGGUUGCUUUGUUACUAUUCGUGUCUGCUGGGUUCAGCUCUGCCCUAACAGAAACAGAGAGAAUCGUGUGCUGGGUUAAAUAUAUUAACCGGUUCCUAUAAAAUUGGUGAGACCCCGACUGAGAAUUGUGCCUAUCUGAGAGGAGUCAGAUUCGCUGCUGUUGUGCCAACGGAGAUCAACAACAUCUACGGAGGAACAAAAGUUAAUGCGGACGCUAAAGAACGAACAAAGAACGAGAUGACAAUGCAUUAAAGAUAAACAACAGUUGAACAAUGGUAGACGGCUAUGGAACGACAAAACGAUGAAUCUUGACGAUGGCUAACGGACAAACGAAACGAACUUUUAAAAAAUUAUGAGGUGAAAAAUCAACGAAAAAUAAUCAAAAUGAUGAAAUAAUGAAUCAACUACAGACGAAGGGACUUUUCAAAGAAAUACGGUACAUAAAACGCGCCCAAACAAAUUAUUUAACGCGACAAAUGACGAAAAGAAUGACAAACGUAACAAUAUGUUAUUUUCAUGCUCAUAAUUUUGUUUUAUUUUAUCAGUGCAGAUUUUUCAUCUUGUUGGGACACGCUUCAUACUUCUCCUAUUCUUAAGGUAAAAUUCUUCUAUUUCUCUCUGGCGUUUUAAAAUUCGGCUUCCAAUUUUUAUGAAUUCAUUGAAGGUAGGGUAAUUCGGAUGUUUAUUUAAGUGGCAUAAAAUCGUUAGGCCAAAUGAUUGUCCAACAUAAGUAAAUGUUUAGUUACGAAUGGUUUUCAUAAAAUUCAUAAAGAAUGUAAAUUUGACGGUCAUAAACAACCCCAUUUUCGAUAGAAUAUGUUUCUAAAUCACUGGCAACCUUUUAAAAAGAUGAUUUAAAUAUAAUCAUACUUUAAUCUCGCCAAUAUAUUCGUCUAAUACGAAUAUAUUGAUCAAAUACAUAAACUAAGCGCAUUUUUUUCUCAACGCACACAGAAGGCUAUUUUUUUUCAAAGCGCUUCAAACCCAACAAGGGAUAUCAAGGCUAGCUAAGCCAUUACUUGCGAGUUGUAAGGUUAAGGUGUGAUGAAAUAUGUUAAAUUGAAAUCACUGUUUUGACUGUCAACAUCAAAUUUAAAACUAUAAUACGCCAAUCUUUUCUAAAAGCUUCUUUCCACUUUU
Styela clava is the source of this 1513-nucleotide non-coding RNA. Lineage: Eukaryota; Metazoa; Chordata; Ascidiacea; Stolidobranchia; Styelidae. The record is from RefSeq and is a predicted model, not a curated record.